CUGUGAGCCACCUCAAUUAGAUAUAGUCAUGGUGUCUCUUCAUAGCAAUAGAAACACUAAGGCACUAUCCAUUAUCUCUUCACCCAUCUAUCCAUUCACCACAUCCAUCCAUCAUUCAUCUAUUCCUCCACCCACCCUCCAUGUCUCCUCCUCCUACCAUCUGUCUACUCAUACAUCACACCCACCUAUCCACUCACCCAUCAUUGAUCCAUCCAGCCAUCCAGCCAUCCAGCCAUCCACCCAUCCAUCUAUUAUCUAUCUAUUAUCUCUCUGCCCAUCUAUUCACCCUUCCUUCCUUCCUUCCUUCCUUUCCUCCUUCCUUUCUUUCUUUCCACCUGUCCCACAUUUAUGAAGAGCCACAUUUAGGAGUCCCAAACCUCAGUUUCCUCAGCUCACAAGGCCAAAGGCAUAGACAAGGCAUCACCAGUGCAUCAUGAUCAGAGUGAGAAGCCCGAACCAUAGGAGCCCAGUAUGAGUGCCUCAAGGAAGACUUCUAAGAGGAGCUUGAAGCAGGAAAACCUGGGCAGAGCAAGUCCUCCAUGCAGGAAGUGGGCACUCACUCCCCAAACCAUCAUCCUGACACUUCUGUCAAGGCUCUGGGAUCCUCCCCUCCGUGCCUGGCCAAACCUCCCAGGGUCUAUGUAUAUCGUCUGGUCUGGAAGUCCCAGUCUCCUCACUUCAGCCUCCUGAGAACUGGAAUUACAGGCAUGGGCCAGCUUAAGUGGAAACAUGUUUACCCCUGUGGCAGUUGGGGCCAGUCUCACUCAAGAGCAUCCCGGAGCCCCAGGCUUGCCUUAGAUACUUAGAGCCAGUUCAGUAUCUCCCUCCUAUAAAGGCCUGCAGUCAAGGUCCCCCAAUGCCUCACAGCCAUUGGUACUGAUAUCAGAGGGAACCCAGAAGGGAGGCAUUAUCACACUGUAGCUCUCUAGUGGGCGCUGUGCCCAGUACACUGCACGGCUACCUUCUCAACUUGGUCUUAAUGUGCUAACCUGUGCUGUGCAGCCUCCAACCAUGCAUGCUCAGCCUUCCACCGGCCUCUAGGUCUUUCCUAGAAGCACAGUCCCCCACCCUGCUAGGCAUACCUGGCCUGUAUUCCAAUUCUUCCUCCCCCAUAGCUAGGGAGCUGUCAUGUAGUCUCUGACAGGGUCAUCGCGUCUCAUGUCUGUUGUUCAAGUGUCUGAUCUGCCCCUGGCCUUCUUCAGUCUUUGAACAUGACUCUAGUUAGACCUGGGGUGAGCAGUGCCCAGGCUGCCACACAGGUGCAGGCUUCAGGCUGUUCUUUCCCUAGCCCUGGCCCCCAUUUCACCUCUUGAGAGUGUAUGCACAAACGCCUGCCGAGUGUCUUCUGUGACAAUACAUUCCCGAGGUCAGCAAAUAUUUGCCGCCUGCGGUUCAGCCCACCUGCAGGCCACCCAGGGUAGGAACAGGAGGGAGAGUGGCUAGGAGCCAGCAAGAGGAGGCUGCAGAGGAGGACCCUAUCAUCUUGGGAUUGCAUCACUAGAGGCAUGGGCACCAGAACCAUGAAGGGGGUGUGCCUGGGAGUGCUGCCAGCUUUGGACACCUUGGAACAACUGGAGCUUGUCUGGGGUGGGCAAAGUUAGGUGAGCGGAAUAGCUGGCUCCUGGUGAAGUCUGGCUGACUGCUGAAGGCUGCUGGCUGUGUUUGAGAUGACUUAAGUGUGUCAUAACAACACUGAAAACCUUCAAUUGUGGACCAUUAGAGCAUAUACAGAGCUGCAAAGAAUAGCAUGGGGAUUCCCCUACAUAGACUACUCCAGGGUCAAUGGCCAAGCAGAAGGUCACCACUUCCUUUGCCAGCAUGAAGCAUGAAGCCUACACUUAUGGCAGCAUUUUUUAUCUCAUCACUGGUUUCUCUGGAGACCCUGGUGCUCAUGUAAAGUAAGACUGAGGCUGGUCUUGGGGGUCCCUAGACACAUUAGGACCUCUUCCACCGGGGCUGGCAUUAUGGUGGCUGACUGAGUCACCAAAAAGUGGGGGAGUUCCAACUUCUGAGUUCCAACCCUGCUGAAGGAGCCUGCCCAUGUGUGUCUCCCUGUGAGGGAGGAGAGUGAGCCCCGUUUUACACAUGAUGAAACAGAGCUGUAGAGAUAGUAUUCAGUGGCAAAGGUGGGUUGGGAAAGGGCAUCGGGUCCUAAGCCCACCUCAGUCUUUACCAGUGCACACCAAAGAGAAAAAUUGUCAUUUGACAAAGAGGUGUUAGGAUGCUAAGUAUCUAAUCAUUGUCCUCUCACUGUCUGAGGGUCUUAUACAGACCAUGGUGUGGCACUCCACAGGGAUGGUGAGGCAUUCCAUGGGGACUUGGAGACUUCGGGUACUGAACCACUCACUUCUGAUGGAAGGCUGAGGCCAGGGGUGGGCAGGGCUGUCAGAAGUAGUUUUUGUGGCUAUCCUUCUCAAGUAGCUCUAAGCACUAUGGAAAGAUAAUGAAUUGUCAUCCUUGUCUGGCCCUAACACACUGGAAAUGGCUUGAAUUGGAACAUCACAACCACUCUCUGCAGUGAUCUUUCUGUCCCCAUCUGCGAGGUGGACUUUCUUCCCUGAUCAUACUUAGGUAGUUAACAUUUGAAUCCAGGGAGGGUACCCCAAAGUUACUGUGGUCAUCUCCACUCUUGUUGGUUGCCUGAUUUGCAAGGAGCCUGGGAAAGGCUCUCUUGACCUAGAGUCUCUCAUUCCCCUCCAGCUACAAAGGAGGUUUGAAGCAUUCCUUUCUUGGAGAGACAUUAACUAUAUAGUCUUCCUCUUUAUAAGGUCCCAACAACCAUGCAAUCCAGCCAAAGUUUACUUAGGGCACCAAAAAGGUUUUGGGCUUCCUUGCAGACACCCUGGGAAGUCUACACCCAGCAUGGCUGUUAGGUCCUCCAAGGCCCCAUAGAUGGAGCCCUCUCUGCUAGGCACCCCAGCCCAUGUACUCUAGUCCCUCCCAAGACCCUGAGGCCAUGUGCAUUUAGGGCAGAUGUGACUGAGAGGAGAGGGGCUAAUGACCUUCUGCCUCCUUUUGAGGAAAUGACAACAAUCAUCCAGCUGGCUCCUCAUGGCCUCUUGCAAGCAGGCACAGCUGAUUCGAUAAAGGUGACAACUGUUUUACUUGGAGGACCACAUUUUAUAACACGGCCAUUUCAGCAUGUGUGGGAAUAGGAGGUUCAGGCUUGUCUCUGUCUCUCUGGCUCUGCUGAGAUCCCCUGCAUUGGGGCAUGGGCUCCGGCCAGGCCCAUCUGGUGCAGGUGGGUCUUCUCUUUCCACCCUGUCCACAGAGCCAGCAGACUACAGCAUCUACAGACCGUGACCCCUCCCUGCAGAAAUCAUCUCAGCCAUCCCUGCCAACACCCCAGCACCUCAGUGCACUUGGCAAGUGGGCUGCCUGCCUUCCUGAGCCCCCCCAGGGACCACCUGGGGGUGGCGGUGGGGGGAGGCCUCGGAUGGAGCCACAGGCUGGUGCUCAUGCUCAGCAGGCCAUCUGUGCUGCUGUGUGCCCUGGGCACAAUACUAGGGCUCCCUGAGCUCCUCUGGCUUCACCUGACCUUCAGCAGGUUCAGGAGCCAAGCUGUGCAGAUAGGCCUUACCCAGCUGGGUGCUGAGCAAUGAGAGGGGCAUCUGUUAGACUUUGCUUUCUCCCACGACCCAUUCCUCCCUCCCACCCUUCCCCAGUGAUCCCUGCCGUCACGUCACAUUGACAAGGAAUGCUCUUCAAGGACCAUUGCCCCCACUCGAGUGCUGGCUUUGUACACAUCCCACACAGGGAGCUCAGACAGUCCCAGGCAGGCGGCCCCUAGGGACCUGUCUGUCCAGCCUAUAAGACAGAAGCAAAGAGGCCAGGUGGGGAAAUUCAGGGGAGAGAGGCUGCGGGCUGCAGGGAGGGCGGGGAAGGCACAGUUCUGCACACAGAGGUUGGGUUUGAAUUGCCCUAGAGCCCUGGGGUGUGGAGAUGUCUAUAGGCCUUUAGGUUGUAUACUGCACAAGGGCCAACUGAGAAGCCCAUAAACGUCCUGCAUCUAGACACAUUUGUCUCCCACUGGAGCCUCCGAGACCUCGCAGUCACUCCCUUGGGCCUGGGUCCAGCAAAUUGGAACCAUGUAUGGGGCAGAGUCGCUGGGACGCUGACAUGAGACAGCCUUGUGUUGCGUGGCAUGGCUGUGGAUUUUGCACAGUUGAAGGCUGAGCUCUGCCUCUUCCCAGCUGGGCGAUCUUGAGAUAGUUCGUGAACUUCUCUGAGCCCUUUCCCCAGCAUUUAAACAAAUAAAGGUAUAAAACUG
Mesocricetus auratus (golden hamster) is the source of this 4270-nucleotide long non-coding RNA. RefSeq lists it as uncharacterized. NCBI's taxonomy places the organism in Eukaryota, Metazoa, Chordata, Mammalia, Rodentia, Cricetidae. The transcript has 3 exons. The record is from RefSeq and is a predicted model, not a curated record.